Erinaceus europaeus (western European hedgehog) is the source of this 124-nucleotide non-coding RNA. The record is from Rfam. NCBI's taxonomy places the organism in Eukaryota, Metazoa, Chordata, Mammalia, Eulipotyphla, Erinaceidae.
UUUUUGUUUUGAAAUAUGAAAAAUCACAUUCUAAUUUGCUAACAUAGGAAGGUAAAGUAAGUCUCCAAUAACCCAGAAAAGAGAUUGCAAAACUCUUCUUUGGAUUCUGUCUGGAAUAAAUGCU